RNAcentral lists this transfer RNA (58 nucleotides) under Poecilasma litum. RNAcentral describes it as "tRNA-Ser". The record is from RNAcentral. Lineage: Eukaryota; Metazoa; Arthropoda; Thecostraca; Poecilasmatidae.
AAAAAUGAUUAUUAAAAGCUUCUAACUUUUAUAUUUGCAAUAGUUUGUAACAUUUUUC